GCUGAAUGUUUGUAUGUCCUCACUCUCACAUUCGCAUGUGACAGCCCUAGUGCCCAGUGUGCAGAUGGGGCCAUCAUGGAAUUAAAUCAGGUUAAAUGAGGCCAUGUGGGCAAGACCCUGAUCUAUAGGAUAGUGUCCUUAGAAGAAGAGAUGCCAGAGAACUUGCUUCUUCUUCCUGUGUGCACAGACAAGAGGUCCUCUGAGCACACAGAGGGCAGAAACCUGCAGGCCAAUAGAGGAAGCACAGGGUGAAACCCACCUUGAUCUUGGACUUCCCAGCCACCAGAACUAUGGGGAAUGACUUUCUGAAGUUGAAGCCACUCCGUCAGUGGUAUUUCCUUAUUGCAGCCAAGAACAUCAUUACAGUCAUAUAGUUAGCCUUCCAUCUAAAAAUACUGGCACUAAAUCUUAGCACAGGAUGGGAUUGUAGCUCAGGGGCAGAGUGCAUGCUUAGCAAUUGUGAGACCCAAUGUAAAGCUCCAGCACCAGAAAAAGACAACAAAAACCACAAUAACAACAAAAAUCAUUGACAAUGUUAAUGCAAUUAUUUAUUUGCUUUAUUCUGGUCCAAACAUUCUGAAAGGUUGUUCUAAGCACUAGCCAGAAAAUAUCUGCAUAACUGAUGGGAAUUUGGAAUAUUACGUGACUAAUAUUUCACUUACUGUGAAUGUAUUCCCAUGUUAUAACCUUUGAGCUUCUCUGCCUGUUGUUCUCCCAUCUGUGUUUACUCAAGGAUUCUAGGAGCUCUCCUUGAAAUCCUAGGCUCCUCUAGUUUCAGCAAAAUAGGGAGGAAAAUAUUUCUUAUUUCUUUCUGAGUGCAUUAAAUAAGAUACAACUGAGGCCCAUCUCAUAGGUCCUGCCUCAGCCCCGGGGUCAUCCAUUUCUCCGUGGAGCUCUGCAUCCUUCAGUGGAGAAUGGUAGCAGAAAC
This 928-nucleotide long non-coding RNA is filed under the name Marmota monax (woodchuck). The record is from RNAcentral. Lineage: Eukaryota; Metazoa; Chordata; Mammalia; Rodentia; Sciuridae.